UAAGUGCACCACACCCUGGGAUGUGAAACUGGGACUUGUUCCAGAAAGAGACUGUGGUCAGAUGGGCAGGGCAUCAACAAUCCCUGAGGCUGAGCCCUGGGUAGAGCCUUUAAGUCAGCUGCUCGUCCUGGGCCUCAGGAACAUGCUCAGACCUCGCCCUGUAGAACCGAAGGGGAAAAGAAGAGAAGCCCAGCUCCCACCAGUGAUGUGCUAAGAAAUUCUGGAGCUGUUCCCCAAGCUGGGGAUUGAGAAGCCCCACAAAGUUCCUGAGCCUGGUCACUAUCAACGGCUCACUACAGCAUUGUGGGAUGGACAUCAUCAUGUCAACUACAAGCCAGGCAUGACUUAACAGACUCCACGGGACAUUAUAGUCUAAGACAGGUUUGUGUAUGAGAAUUCUCACAGAGGCUUUUGGCCUGGGCCUGGUGAUGUGAGGAUACAUUCACCAGGAGGGGGAAAUGGGGCUUGGAGGAAUCGGGACUGACUGAAGCAGAAAGGAUGGUGAAGCAAAGGCCCUGAGCUGAGCCGAUGGAGUGGCGCACACCUGUAUUCCAGCGCUAGGGAUGCAGACGUGAGGAUCAGGAGUUCAAGACCAGCUUCAGCUACCAGCAAAUCUGAUAACAUCUGGGUCUCUACAAGACCCUACCUCAAGAAAAGAAGAAGAAGAACAACAACAAAAAAACCCCUGAGCCGGGAAAGAGUCAAAUAGUUUUGAGAACAGACACAGACAUCAAAGUCCGAAUAGGAGAUGAGAAGAGUGAAGAUCUCCCUCUCCUACCAUGAUGUCAAAGGCUUCACAUCUUGGAUGGAUUUGAAUUUCACAGAAAAUUGGGAUUCCCAAAAAGUUGUUCAUGGAGCUCUUGGAGGUCAACCACCUUCCAUUCAUGAGCUUUUGGUGGACAUUUUUUCCCAUUUUUUUAUUUCAUUUCAUAUUCCAAUCACAGUUUUCCCUCCCACCCUACCUCCCACCCCCCUUGACUCCUCCCAUCCACCCCACUUCCCCUCUAACCCACCCCCAGUCCACUCUUCCUCACAGGUAAUUGGUGGGACUUUUUUGAUUCAACCCGUAAUAACAGCCAACCUUGGGUUAACUGAACAAAGGUCCCCGGCAUUGUGGUCUAAGGUUCAGCAGGACAUUGGAGGAGCUGCAGGGGGAUCUACAUCAAUGUGUAGGACAAAUUGCUCAGUGCAAGCCAAGUGUUUCAUUCACCCUGUUCUCCACCAGGAAACAGCUAUCUGUUCCAAUGCCGGAAGCAACACUGGUGCGUGGGAUUUCCCAAAGCAAGCACACAUGACUCUACCACAGUGACUUCCUGAAAGAUGCAUAUGUGACUCCACCACACUGCCGUUCGUACUGUUGCUCUUUGUGAUGUGCAGCAUUUCAAGUCCAUAGUAAAUUGUGUGGGCAAGUCUGGAUACCUAGACAUUCCAGUGUCUCCUCAGUCAGUCCUGGCUCCUGGCUGGCCUCUCAGCUUGUCCUGAAUUCUUCUUCUUGCCUGCAUACUAUCUUCCAUCCUUCAGGAUCCAGUUCAGGCAGCCAUCAAAUACCCUGCAAGCAUGUUCCUUGCCUACUUUGGCUGAAUUUUGGUACCUAGGACCCAUAACAUCUAUUGCUCUGAUGGCCAAAGUCUACUAGCUUGUCUGUGUCCUUCACUGUUAGAUCUAUAGGUGAGCAGGUGCUGAACUGCUUCUCUAUAAUCCCAGAGACUAAUAACAUCUAGUUCCUGAUAGGCUUUAAACAAUGUUUACCAGGUAGAAUAUAGAAACCAUUUGUGCAUGGUAAUAUCUCCUGUAUUGGAUUGCCUGCCUUUGGUUGUGUACAUGCAUACAUAUGCACCCUCUGUUUAUUCCCCACUGCACUCCCAUUUCUCUGUCUUACUCUCAGUCUCCAUCUUGCUGCAAUAUAAUCAUAUUCUUGCUGUUAGUAACUCAAGAAUCCACUUCCAGGCCCACCUACUCUGCAUGCCUAUGGACCAUGCCUGUGGACUAUGCCUGCGGACCAUGCCUAUGGAUCAUGUAUGCCUAUGGACCAUGCCUGCGGACCAUGUCUGUGGACUAUGCCUGCGGACCAUGCUUAUGCACCAUGCCUAUGGACAAUACCUAUAGAUCAUGGCAUUUGCUUUUCUAGGAUUCUCAAGCUACUCCUUUUUCGACAUUUCUCUUCUCAACUAGAUUGUCAGCCUUAUGGAGACAGAAGCCGUAUGGCUCCCAGUAGGCGCCCUAUCACUGUUUGUUUAACAAAUGAACAAACAAAAUGAAUCUAAACAGGUGCAGUUUAGAGUUCCCUAAGGAACUCAGAAAGACAGGACUUCCAUUUGCAGCCAAACUCUCUGAUGGCCACCCAGAAAGAGUGACAAUGGAGGACAUCUGAGGACAUCCACCUCAGAUGUCAACUCUGUUCCAGCAUAAGCCUGAGAGCAGAAACCUCAUCAACUUUGUGACCCUGUACCUCCCUUGUUCCAUCCAUCCCUGCCUCGUUCCUAUUAUGUAGCUAUGUAACUCAGGCCUCUUUGAGGCAACAGAAACCUGACAAGCUUAGAAACAAACCUUAUCUCCUACAAUAUGCAAAAUUCUAUUCUCAACACUCAACACUGAAUAUUUUGGGACUAGAUCAGCGUACAGAAUUCCCAACAAGUUAGCAGGCACUUCUACAGACGACUCUCCCCUGGACUCCAGGUCUGCUCUCUUUUUAAAAGAUCUAUUUAUUUGUGUGUGUGUCUGUGUGGAUGUAUGCUAUAGCCACGUGUGUGCAUGCUGAAGAGGCUGGGAUAGGGUGUCAGGUUACCUGGAGCUGGAGCUGCAGGGAUACUGGGAACUGAACAUGGGUCUCCAUAAGAUCACCAGCCAUCUCCCCAGCCCCGGUCUGCUUCUCUCUCACUCCGUGAGGACACUACAGGGAGAGGUUGAGUUUUGAGUUCUCAGUCCCCAGACUGCCCCCAGAAGCCAUUUCAAACGAUGCUAUGCGUGGAGGAAGAGAAGGGGUUGGAGGCACAUACCCUCUAGGAAUCCCCACGAGUUCAAUUGCCCCAGAUCUAUCGGAACCCAUCUGUUUGGGGCUUAUAUGAAAGCACGAUCACAUGAUUCAUUAGACCCCUGGUCAUUGGUGAUCAACGUUAAGAGUCCAUCCUGCCCCCUUCGCUAGGGAAGAGAGUGGGGGGGGGUGAAAAGCUCCAGUAUUCCCACCUAUCCCUGCCCCAGUCUUUCUUGGAUCCAGACCCUUUCUGGAAGCUACUUAGAGGCUGCCAGCCACCAGCCAUCUCAUUAGCACACAGGACACUCACGCAUCACUUCAGAGAUUCUUAGGAAUUAUAUGCCAGGAAACUGGGACAGCGUUUAAAUGUAUAAACACCUUGUUAUAAAUCACAGUAUGACAACUCACUAAGCAAAAAGCUGGAAGAUAAUGCCUCGAAUAGUGAAACCACAGGCAAGGCAGAGCAACACAAGGUGAGGGCCGGAAUUCCUGUUUUCUCUCUUCUCCAAAUCCUGUUCCACCUCAUUGUCUCAGAACAGCUUACUUCACGCAGCAGGAGCCAAAGCAGCCUGUCAUCUUGGCACUCAAAUGCAAGCACCCCCUCAGCCAGGGCUUGAAGUGGACGUCCUGGAGAAAGGCUGGACUUGGCCUGGUUCAGGUCACCUGAGCAUGUCCAGAACCAAUCACCAGGACCAAUGGCUGAAGAACCUUUGUACUUGGGUCUGGGGUCCAUUAUUAGGAAGGGAUGGGUAUAGUAGAGAUCAUGGCCUCAGGGGAGUUCUUAGGACUAAGUUAAGGGGCCACCAGAAUUUACUGUUCUUACAUCUCUCAAAAUCCAGAACUCUGAUCUGUGGUGUGAA
This is a long non-coding RNA of Mesocricetus auratus (golden hamster), 3831 nucleotides long. RefSeq lists it as uncharacterized. NCBI's taxonomy places the organism in Eukaryota, Metazoa, Chordata, Mammalia, Rodentia, Cricetidae. The transcript has 3 exons. The record is from RefSeq and is a predicted model, not a curated record.